CCUCCUCGUCUCUCUGGCCUUUUUUUUUUCUUCUCUCUCUGGUUGGGCACGCACGAGGAGGCCUUUUUUCUCCUGGGCCGGGCUAAUUGAGCCCAACCAUUUUCUUCUCUUUUAUCUUUUUUUUUAGUUCCUGUCCGGUUGCCUCUCCGAGCUCCGGCGGCCGGCGACCGUGGGUGCUCCCAAACCCCCGCGUGCCAAUAGGGCAACCGACCGGCACAUUUCGGUUCGAACCGAACCGACCGAGCUGUAACCCCUAAGUGGCUUGAGGUCUGCUCACUGGCUCACCGCAUCGCAUCCUCGCUGAUCGGCGCUCAACCACCAGCACCGGCGGCGGCGAGUAACCUCAAGGGCGCGGCGCUGGCUCUUCUCCGUCUCCUCGCUGCCACGGACGUCCACGACCUCCUCCCCCUCAUACCCACCCACCCCUUCCAACUCCAAUGGCAGCAUGCCCGCCAGCUGCUCGACGAAAUGAAACGGCCGACCAACUGACCAGCAUCCAUGCCCAAUCUACUCGAUGGCAGGCAAUGGAGGCGCCCCAAAUAUUUUGAUGAAGGGUGUGAUGGUGUUUGUUCUUGUUACACGCCGAGUGCCGCUGCAUGCGCCGACUUGAUUUAGUUCAUCGGAAAGUUGGGCCCGGAAACUAGAAUUCACAAGCUUGCAAGCGUCACAACUGAGGCCUUUGACGCGCGGCGCAUGGAUGCAGGCAUACGCUGUCGAGAGAGCUAAGCUGAGUACCUGAUGGACUUUUGUGGUUCUGUAGUGAGUUCGGUAAUGAUGUUAAGUUGCUACACUGUUUUGUAUCAGAGGUCUGUAUUUAACUAUGGCUGGAGAUCAUUCUCUAGUAACUGAAAAAGACAAGUCUGAGUUGGAAACUUUGGCCAGAAGGAGCAGCUUGGUUAUUGGCAA
Molecule: long non-coding RNA, 906 nt
Organism: Aegilops tauschii subsp. strangulata
Lineage: Eukaryota; Viridiplantae; Streptophyta; Magnoliopsida; Poales; Poaceae
Source: RefSeq, a predicted model, not a curated record